UUCUCUUGCAAAAUAGGAGAUAUUAUAACUAAUUAUUUUCAUAAACCUUUAAGUUAGUUUUGCCAAUACAUUCAAAACUUUUAACUGUACACUUUCAUUUCUGAUUCAAACAUUUUCAUAUCAAAUUCAGUCAAAACAUUCAAAUCAUUUUUUUACUCUGGUCAUCAAACAUCAAAUAGUGUCCAAUAGGGUGGGACUUUCCAAAUAAGUGACUAGCUUUAAAUUGUUCCUUUAAGGUGGACGAAACAAAACACUACUAGUAUUAAUAACCUCUAACCAAACCCUUAGAGGCUGAGGUUCAAAUCAAUUACAUUCCCCAUCAAGAAAUGUAAAGAUCAACUAUUAUAUCCCGUUGACAAGAACCAAACAAAUCAGAGUCAAACACUUAUUUCAAUUAUUCAAAUUUGCAAAACAUAAUAUCUCCACAUUUCUCUAUUGUAAACAAAAUAUAAGGUUCUAACAUACUUUUCAUGCAAAACAUAUUUGAUUCAUGCAUAAAACCAAUGUUUUAAAAACCGGACCGGACCGGCCGGUCGGACCGGUUCAACCGUCGACCGGUCACAAAUCCGGUCCGGCUUGCCCUAUUGAACCGUUUAACGAUCAAACCGGUCACGAACCGCCUAAACCGGCGGUCGGACCGGUGACCCGGUGGAACCGGACGGUUCUAAUCGAACCGAACAGUUCCAGUUAGCCACCCUUUUAAAGGUUUUCUUAUAUAAAAGGCUUGGGCAAAAGCCCAUGCUGGGGGCCUUGUCUCAUAAUGACACAGCCCACAUCCCACUAAAUCAUAUUAUGGGCUUAGACUUGAGCCCAACUGAUGAUGUAAUGCAUUGCCCAUUUGCCCCUUAAUGUGGAUGGCUUUUAUAGGCAUCCUUUGCAUCCUCAUUUCACUUGGAAUCCGAUGUGGGAUUGCUAACCAACCUAAUCAAUGAAAAAAAAAUAGCAAGUCCCACCGUGAGGAUUUGAACCUUGGACCCCAAGGUCUAUAGGCAUCCCAAGACACCACUCAACUACAUAGCUUUUGUUAUCUUAUAUGCAAACAAAAUAAUAUAUAUUAGAUUUUAAAUUUUUUUAUAAUAUUAAAUAAAAAUAAAAUAAUAUUUUUAAAAAUGAUAAAAUUAGUUUAAAUUUUCAUUUUUAAUAUAUUCACAUUUAAAUAUUUUACAUAUUCCAUUUAAUAAAAU
This 1184-nucleotide long non-coding RNA is filed under the name Vitis vinifera (wine grape). RNAcentral describes it as "long non-coding RNA (VVIN_LNC006771)". The record is from RNAcentral. Lineage: Eukaryota; Viridiplantae; Streptophyta; Magnoliopsida; Vitales; Vitaceae.